CUCCCUUCAUGUGACUUACACAGCCUUCCUAAACACUUCCUGUAAAGCGUUAUCUAAUGUUUACAGUUCCUUUAUUGCAAAUUCUGUUUAAUUUAGAGUUUCAUAUCUCCUGCUCUAUUAAUAGUUUACUAGACCUUGCAGGAGCCUCUUGUAUGUAAUUAAAGGGACACUAUAGUCACCAGAACAACUACAGCUUAUUGAAUUUGUUCUGGUGAGUAGAAUCAUUACCUUCAGGCUUCAGAGAAAAUGCAGUGUUAACAUUACAGCCUAGUGAUAACUUCACUGGCCACUCCUCAGAUGGCUGUUAGAGAUCCUUCCUGGGUCAAGGCUGCUUAAAAUGCAUCCAAACAUUCAGUGUCUCCUC
Molecule: non-coding RNA, 364 nt
Organism: Pelobates cultripes (western spadefoot toad)
Lineage: Eukaryota; Metazoa; Chordata; Amphibia; Anura; Pelobatidae
Source: the annotation of a GenBank genome assembly